GUUCAAAAGCAGUUAGCUCGGGUGGUUCCUGUGCUUCGGCUUCAGGUCCCCGAACUAGCUGUUCAAAUUACACCAGAGGCCAGCCUCGAUAGUAGAGAAGGGUUACAGAAUCCAGUUCGGUUCUCGUCCCCCACGCUACAACGGGGUGUUGCUCACAGUAGUGCAUCCCGAGCAGGCUCUGGUCAUGGAGCAAGAAGUGAAAUCUCUUUUAGCGAAAAAUGCUAUAGAGCAGGUGUAUCCUCCCGACAGGGCAUCGGUUUUUACAGCAGUUAUUUCAUUGUUCCAAAAAAGGGCUGCAUCCCAUUUUAGAUCUUCGUCUGUUGAAUCGUACAGUUCUGAAAUUAAAAUUCAAGAUGCUGACACUCAAACAGAUCGUGACUCAAAUCAGAUCCGAGGACUGGUUCGUCACAAUAGACUUAAAAGAUGCGUACUUCCAUAUCUCCAUCCUCCCUCAGCACAGGAAGUUCCUAAGGUUUUCUUUCGGGGGCAAAGAAUACCAAUAUCGGGUACUUCACUUCGGUCUAGCUCUCUCACCCCGCACAUUCACGAAAUGCGUAGAUGCAGCUCUGGCCCCGCUCAGGCUGCAGGGCAUACGUAUUCUGAAUUACCUGGACGACUGGUUGAUUUUAGCGGAAUCAGAACAGUUGGCAGUUCGGCAUCGAGAUGUCGUCCUCGCUCAUUUGCAAAAGUUGGGUUGGAGGCUCAAUACCAAGAAGAGUGUGCUAUGUCCAUUACAGAGGACCACUUUUCUUGGGGUGGUAUGGGAUUCGGUCACGAUGUGAGCCGCUCUUUCGCCCGCUCGUGUAGCCAACAUCCUCACAGCCACAUCAGAGCUAAAGCUAGGCCAGUGACGCACUGUAAACAGUUCGAGAGAUUGUUGGGGUCUCAUGGCAGCAGCGUCCAAUGUGAUCCCCUUUGGCCUUUUGGGCAUGAGACCUUUACAGUGGUGGCUCAGGACCUGAGGGUUCUCCCCGAGGGGAAACCCACUUCGUACGAUCAAGA
Molecule: long non-coding RNA, 1002 nt
Filed under: Carassius auratus (goldfish)
Lineage: Eukaryota; Metazoa; Chordata; Actinopteri; Cypriniformes; Cyprinidae
Description: lncRNA (ENSCARG00000023677.1)
Source: RNAcentral